Molecule: non-coding RNA, 1648 nt
Organism: Oncorhynchus mykiss (rainbow trout)
Lineage: Eukaryota; Metazoa; Chordata; Actinopteri; Salmoniformes; Salmonidae
Source: RefSeq, a predicted model, not a curated record
GUCAGUACCCUGUCUAGCCUGCCAGACAUUUGAGAGGGUGAAGACUGUUGAGCCGGAGCUGAAGCCCAUCAAAGUUGUUUCACCAUGGCACAUGAUCGGUUUGGUGAAUGGACCAACCAGACCCUCAAGACUACCAUGGGCAAAUCCCUUGAUUGGUACCAGGAAGGGUGGUCGAUCAACCUGAAGGUGAGACUGAACAUCGACAAGACUCAGGAGAAACUGAAGGGGAGCUACCGGAGCAGAAUCAAGAAGGGGACCAAGUGCUACGACAUCCAGGCAAGAAGGAUGAAAGGAAGGACGAAAAGAAGGACGAAAGGAAGGAUGAAAAGAAGGCGAGACCUGGGAAACUUUGCUGCUUUUCGCUCCUAGCUGGGGUCACCAUCUGUUAAAGUGAAUAAUACUGCCUCACAAAAUGGAAGCAGCAGGAAAUCAGAAUCAUCUCCUAGACGGUCGACGAGCAAGGAUAUCUACUUCGUCAACAGCAAGACCAACUGGCACAACUGGGGACGGCUAUGGAAGAGGUUCUUCGCAGUGUUCAACGUCUCGAACAUACCUGAGACGCGUUGCCUUCUACUACUGGAGGGUAGUCGACCCAGCGAGCCAGCCCAUUUAGCAACCCGCCCAGGUCAACAAUGCCCGUUUGUCCCUUCCAGAUAAAUAUGACGGCACAUCAUCUAAAUGCCCUGGCUUCCUACUACAGUGCUCCCUCUACUUUGUGCACCAGAUGGGAGACCCCACGACCGAGAGGUCCAAGGUUGGAGGGCGCAAAGGACCCAUUCGUCAUCCUCACCGACCAUCAGAACCUGAGGUACAUAUGGACAACGAGGAGGCUGACUCCACGCGAUGUAAGGUGGGCUCUUUUCUUUAUGAGAUUUGACCUCACGCUAACCUAUUGCCCAAGUUCAAAGAACACCAAAGCCGAUGCCCUGUCCCGUCUCUACGAUUCUGGAGAGGCUCCUGUCCAGAAUGUAUCCAUAAACCCUUCCUCUCGAGUCGUAGCCCCUGUGGUCUGGGACGUAGAUGUGGACAUUCGCCAGGCUCUGGAGAGGGAGCCCGCACCCACUACCUGUCCUCCUGAGUGCAUGUACGUUCCCAUGGGGUUUAAGGGAUGGGUUGCUGACCUGGGUGCACACAGCUGUCGUCGCUGAACAUCCAGGUACUUCUCAUACUACUCAAUCUGUCUCCGAGAAGUAUUGGUGGCCUACCUUGGCGCAGGACGUUAUUCGCUACAUCAACUCAUGUUCCUCAUGUUAUGUGCUCAAACCAAAUCCUCCCGGCAUGCUCCAGCAGGGAAACUCCUUCCCGUGCUUCAUGGUGAGAUGCCGUAGUCACUGGGAAGCUGUAACCUAUAGGUCACCUCCUUGACCUUGAACGGCCCCACAAACCGGGGGCUCAGCUUCUUGCUGGGCAGAAGGAGUGGGAGGAUCCUGGUAGAGAUCCAGACACAAUCCCCUGGAUGGAACGCCCUACACUUCUGUGAAGCCCAAUAGACAAAGAUCGACUGUCUGAUUCCCCCAGGAGGUAUCCCGUCCACCAGAACCAGUGAGUUCGAAUCAGUCUGAUUGUGCUCUGAGUUGGAGGGGGAACAGCUUGAGGACCUGGGGUUCUGCCCAACACCCAGACGUGGAUCCACCUGAUGUCCUCCAUU